This 515-nucleotide ribosomal RNA is filed under the name uncultured bacterium. RNAcentral describes it as "bacterial SSU rRNA". It matches the Rfam family "Bacterial small subunit ribosomal RNA", at positions 28 to 535 of the family's 1533-position model. The record is from RNAcentral.
GAUGAACGCUAGCGGGAGGCUUAACACAUGCAAGUCGAGGGGCAGCAUAGGGUAGCAAUACUCUGAUGGCGACCGGCAAACGGGUGAGUAACGCGUAUGCAACCUACCCUGUACAGGGGGAUAACCCGGAGAAAUUCGGACUAAUAUCCCGUAAUAAUAUCCGGAGGCAUCUUUGGAUAUUUAAAGUUUCGACGGUACGGGAUGGGCAUGCGUAACAUUAGCUGGUUGGUAAGGUAACGGCUUACCAAGGCUAUGAUGUUUAGGGGUCCUGAGAGGGUGGUCCCCCACACUGGUACUGAGACACGGACCAGACUCCUACGGGAGGCAGCAGUGAGGAAUAUUGGUCAAUGGGCGCAAGCCUGAACCAGCCAUCCCGCGUGCAGGAAGACGGCCCUAUGGGUUGUAAACUGCUUUUCCAGGGAGAGAAACUUACGCACGUGUUGCGUGACUGACGGUACCCUGGGAAUAAGCAUCGGCUAACUCCGUGCCAGCAGCCGCGGUAAGCUCGUCUCUAC